This is a non-coding RNA of Pelobates cultripes (western spadefoot toad), 376 nucleotides long. NCBI's taxonomy places the organism in Eukaryota, Metazoa, Chordata, Amphibia, Anura, Pelobatidae. The record is from the annotation of a GenBank genome assembly.
AAUAUUUGAUAGAGUCCUAACCUCAACAUAUGAGGAAAGGGAUUUAGGGGUGAUUAUUUCUGAUGACUUAAAGGUAGGCAGACAAUGUAAUAGAGCAGCAGGAAAUGCUAGCAGAAUGCUUGGUUGUAUAGGGAGAGGUAUUAGCAGUAGAAAGAGGGAAGUGCUCAUGCCAUUGUACAGAACACUGGUGAGACCUCACUUGGAGUAUUGUACACAGUACUGGAGACCGUAUCUUCAGAAGGAUAUUAAUACCUUAGAGAGAGUUCAGAGAAGGGCUACUAAACUGGUUCAUGGAUUGCGGGAUAAAACUUACCAGGAAAGGUUAAAGGAUCUUAACAUGUAUAGCUUGGAGGAAAGACGAGACAGGGGGGAUAUG